Molecule: ribosomal RNA, 253 nt
Filed under: uncultured bacterium
Lineage: Bacteria
Description: partial 16S ribosomal RNA
Rfam family: Bacterial small subunit ribosomal RNA
Source: RNAcentral
UACGUAGGGGGCAAGCGUUGUCCGGAUUUAUUGGGCGUAAAGAGCGUGUAGGCGGCCGCACAGGUCCGUUGUGAAAACUGGAGGCGUAACCUUCAGACGUCGAUGGAAACCGUGCGGCUAGAGUCCGGAAGAGGAGAGUGGAAUUCCUGGUGUAGCGGUGAAAUGCGCAGAUAUCAGGAAGAACACCCGUGGCGAAGGCGGCUCUCUGGGACGGUACUGACGCUGAGACGCGAAAGCGUGGGGAGCGAACAGG